CUUGACCUCAAAUCGAGUAGGACUACCCGCUGAACUUAAGCAUAUCAAUAAGCGGAGGAAAAGAAACUAAACAAGGAUUCCCCUAGUAACGGCGAGUGAAGAGGGAAGAGCUCAAAUUUUGAAUCUGGCGUCUUCGGCGUCCGAAUUGUAAUCUAGAGAAGUGUUUUCCGUGACGGACCGUGCAUAAGUCUCCUGGAAUGGAGUGUCAUAGAGGGUGAGAAUCCCGUAUAUGGCACGGACUCCCGUUGCUCUGCGAUACACUCUCGACGAGUCGAGUUGUUUGGGAAUGCAGCUCUAAAUGGGUGGUAAAUGCCAUCUAAAGCUAAAUAUUGGCGAGAGACCGAUAGCGAACAAGUACCGUGAGGGAAAGAUGAAAAGCACUUUGGAAAGAGAGUGAAACAGUACGUGAAAUUGUUGAAAGGGAAACGCUUGAAGUCAGUCGCGCCGUUCGGGAUUCAGCCUUGCUUCUGCUUGGUUUACUUCCCGUUGGGUGGGUCAACAUCAGUUUCGGUCGGAGGAGAAAGGCUUGGGGAAGGUGGCAGCAUUCGUGCUGUGUUAUAGCCCCUUGUUGUAUACUUCGACUGGGACUGAGGACCGCAGCACGCCUUUGGCCGGGGUUCGCCCACGUACGUGCUUAGGAUGUUGGCAUAAUGGCUUUAAGCGACCCGUCUUGAAACACGGA
This 682-nucleotide ribosomal RNA is filed under the name uncultured endomycorrhiza of Neottia nidus-avis. RNAcentral describes it as "eukaryotic LSU rRNA". It matches the Rfam family "Eukaryotic large subunit ribosomal RNA", at positions 1 to 665 of the family's 3401-position model. Lineage: Eukaryota; Fungi; Basidiomycota; Agaricomycetes; Sebacinales; Sebacinaceae. The record is from RNAcentral.